RNAcentral lists this ribosomal RNA (557 nucleotides) under Horabagrus brachysoma (Gunther's catfish). RNAcentral's name for it is "partial 16S ribosomal RNA". It matches the Rfam family "Bacterial large subunit ribosomal RNA", at positions 1842 to 2608 of the family's 2925-position model. Lineage: Eukaryota; Metazoa; Chordata; Actinopteri; Siluriformes; Bagridae. The record is from RNAcentral.
GGGCCGGAGUCUUGCCUGCCCAGUGACAAGUUAAACGGCCGCGGUAUUUUGACCGUGCGAAGGUAGCGCAAUCACUUGUCUUUUAAAUGAAGACCUGUAUGAAUGGUGGAACGAGGGCUUAACUGUCUCCCCUUUCAAGUCAAUGAAAUUGAUCUGCCCGUGCAGAAGCGGACAUACAAAUACAAGACGAGAAGACCCUUUGGAGCUUAAGAUACAGAAUCAACUAUGUCAAGAACCCUAGAAUAAAGUUAAACUAAAUAGCAACUGAUCCCUAUCUUCGGUUGGGGCGACUGCGGGAGAAAAUAAAGCUCCCAUGCGGACUGGGGCCACCCCUAAAGCUAAGAGAGACAUCUCUAAGUCACAGAACAUCUGACCACAAAGAUCCGGCCAAUGGCCGACCAACGGACCAAGUUACCCUAGGGAUAACAGCGCAAUCCCCUUCCAGAGUCCAUAUCGACAAGGGGGUUUACGACCUCGAUGUUGGAUCAGGACAUCCUAAUGGUGCAGCCGCUAUUAAGGGUUCGUUUGUUCAACGAUUAAAGUCCUACGUGAUCUGA